This 259-nucleotide unclassified non-coding RNA is filed under the name uncultured fungus. RNAcentral describes it as "partial contains 18S rRNA, ITS1, 5.8S rRNA". Lineage: Eukaryota; Fungi. The record is from RNAcentral.
GCAGAAGGAUCAUUAGUGAAGAUUUGGGCAGGCCAUACGGACGCCAAAAAAGUGUCCCUGGCCGCCUACACCCACUAUACAUCCACAAACCCGUGUGCACUGUCUUGGAGAAAGGCUUCUUGAGAAGUUAUGUGACCUCUCUUGGAGGUCUUUCUUCGCUACAAACUCGAAUGGUUAGUAUGAACGUGGAACUUGGUUGGACCGUCACUGGCCAACAAACUAUACACAACUUUCGACAACGGAUCUCUUGGUUCUCCCA